This 75-nucleotide transfer RNA is filed under the name Gammaproteobacteria bacterium. RNAcentral's name for it is "tRNA-Gly". It matches the Rfam family "tRNA". From Rfam's summary of the family: Transfer RNA (tRNA) molecules are approximately 80 nucleotides in length. Their secondary structure includes four short double-helical elements and three loops (D, anti-codon, and T loops). Further hydrogen bonds mediate the characteristic L-shaped molecular structure. tRNAs have two regions of fundamental functional importance: the anti-codon, which is responsible for specific mRNA codon recognition, and the 3' end, to which the tRNAs corresponding amino acid is attached (by aminoacyl-tRNA synthetases). tRNAs cope with the degeneracy of the genetic code in two manners: having more than one tRNA (with a specific anti-codon) for a particular amino acid; and 'wobble' base-pairing, i.e. permitting non-standard base-pairing at the 3rd anti-codon position. Lineage: Bacteria; Pseudomonadati; Pseudomonadota; Gammaproteobacteria. The record is from RNAcentral.
GCGUUGUAGGUGUUGUCAGCGGCACGCUACGUUGCCAAUGUAGAGGCACGGGUGCAAAUCCCGUACGACGCUCCA